Molecule: ribosomal RNA, 335 nt
Filed under: Ramazzottius sp. F10349
Lineage: Eukaryota; Metazoa; Tardigrada; Eutardigrada; Parachela; Ramazzottiidae
Description: SSU rRNA
Rfam family: Eukaryotic small subunit ribosomal RNA
Source: RNAcentral
AAGAUUAAGCCAUGCAUGUCUCAGUACUUGCUUUUACAAGGCGAAACCGCGAAUGGCUCAUUAAAUCAGUUAUGGUUCACUAGAUCGUACAGUUUACAUGGAUAACUGUGGUAAUUCUAGAGCUAAUACAUGCAUUCAGCUCGCUCUCUCGGGAGCGAGCGCAGUUAUUAGAAUAAAACCAAUCCGGCCUUCGGGUCGGUACAAUUGGUGACUCUGAAUAACCGAAGCGGAGCGCAUGGUCUCGUACCGGCGCCAGAUCUUUCAAGUGUCUGACUUAUCAGCUCGUAGGUAGGUUAUGUGCCUACCUUGGCUUCGACGGGUAACGGGGUGUCAGG